This 347-nucleotide unclassified non-coding RNA is filed under the name soil metagenome. RNAcentral's name for it is "partial contains 5.8S ribosomal RNA, internal transcribed spacer 2, and large subunit ribosomal RNA". The stretch from base 1 to 121 matches the Rfam family "5.8S ribosomal RNA", at positions 35 to 154 of the family's 154-position model. The record is from RNAcentral.
GAUGAAGAACGUAGCGAAAUGCGAUAAGUAAUGCGAAUUGCAGAAUUUCCGUGAGUCAUCGAAUCUUUGAACGCACAUUGCGCCCAUUGGCAUUCCGAUGGGCAUGCCUGUUCGAGCGUCAUUAUCCUCCCUCAAACCCCUGGGUUUGGUGUUGGACUGUGUGGUGCCUGGCACCACUGGUCUCAAAGACAAUGACGGCGUCCGUGGGACCCUCGGUGCAACGAGCUUUUCGAAGCACGCGUCGAGUGGACAGUCUCUCCGGGCCGGUCACCUCUCCAAUUUUUCUCAGGUUGACCUCGGAUCAGGUAGGAAUACCCGCUGAACUUAAGCAUAUCAAAAGCGGAGGA